This 99-nucleotide ribosomal RNA is filed under the name uncultured bacterium. RNAcentral describes it as "partial 16S ribosomal RNA". It matches the Rfam family "Bacterial small subunit ribosomal RNA", at positions 1386 to 1482 of the family's 1533-position model. The record is from RNAcentral.
CACACCGCCCGUNACACCAUGGGGAGUUGAUUGCACCAGAAGUAGGUAGCCUAACCGCAAGGAGGGCCGCUUACCACGGUGUGGUCAAUGACUGGGGUG